Molecule: microRNA precursor, 125 nt
Filed under: Gossypium hirsutum (cotton)
Lineage: Eukaryota; Viridiplantae; Streptophyta; Magnoliopsida; Malvales; Malvaceae
Description: MIR7502 microRNA precursor family
Rfam family: MIR7502 microRNA precursor family
Source: Rfam by way of RNAcentral
UAUUAAAAAGUUCAUCUAUUUCUACUAUUAAAAAUUGGCCUAGAUGAUAGAAAUAACCAGACAAUUACAUGUGACAUGCCAGAUGGACCAAUUUUUAAUUGUAGAAACUGAUGUAAUUUUUAACA